This 460-nucleotide ribosomal RNA is filed under the name uncultured bacterium. Its description in RNAcentral is "partial 16S ribosomal RNA". It matches the Rfam family "Bacterial small subunit ribosomal RNA", at positions 338 to 795 of the family's 1533-position model. The record is from RNAcentral.
CCUACGGGAGACAGCAGUGAGGAAUAUUGGUCAAUGGUCGAGAGUCUGAACCAGCCAAGCAGCGUGAAGGAUGACUGUCCUGUGGGUCGUAAACUUCUUUUAUAAAGGAAUAAAACGUGGCACGUGUGCCUUUUUGCUUGUACUUUAUGAAUAAGGAUCGGCUAACUCCGUGCCAGCAGCCGCGGUAAUACGGAGGAUCCGAGCGUUAUCCGGAUUUAUUGGGUUUAAAGGGUGCGUAGGCGGCCUUUUAAGUCAGCGGUGAAAGUCUGUGGCUCAACCAUAGAAUGGCCGUUGAAACUGGUGGUCUUGAGUAUGUUAGAAGCAGGCGGAAUGCGUGGUGUAGCGGUGAAAUGCUUAGAUAUCGCGCAGAACCCCGAUUGCGAAGGCAGCAUGCCAAGCCAUGACUGACGCUGAUGCACGAAAGCGUGGGGAUCAAACAGGAUUAGAUACCCUUGUAGUC